GAACUUUUUCACUGAUUCUACAUAGACUCACUCUCAUCAUGAGAAACCACCAUAUUUUCAUUCUUGUAAAGAGAAUCAAUUUCUUCUCUGACAUACUUGUAUCAGUUAUCAAUCUUGAAUAAUACAAACCCCUAUGUUCUGAUCGAGUUCUGACUUAUAAAACUCCCAGGGUUGUUGGGAUUGAACUGAGUGUAAUCACGCCAUUUGAUCAAUAAUACAAACCCCCUUGUUUUUUACCAGAACAUUUUGGCGCCCACCGUGGGGCCCGGUAAAACGAUUCCUGGGCCACACCUACUUUCGAUACGGAGGGAUGCAUCAUUCCUUCCAUGACCAUUCAUUCAAUCCGGUUAGAUUCGUGUUCCAAAUCUGGAUAUUCAUGUUCCUCAUUCAAGGCUAUAAUCACGACCAAUUGAGGAAACUAUCAUCAACAACAGUAUAGACAUCAUCUUCAUAUUGCUCAAAAUCACGAGAAUACUCGCCACCAUCUUCAUACAUAGUGUUUCCGAGGAAGAAAAUCAGGUGUUUGAAUUCCUAUAAUUAUGAUUUUGGCCUAAUGAUUUUUCCUUUACUAAAAAAUCCCAUGCGUUUAUAUAUGCAAAAAGCAGU
Molecule: long non-coding RNA, 606 nt
Filed under: Trifolium pratense (red clover)
Lineage: Eukaryota; Viridiplantae; Streptophyta; Magnoliopsida; Fabales; Fabaceae
Description: long non-coding RNA (TPRA_LNC013126)
Source: RNAcentral